GAAUUCGCCCUUAGAGUUUGAUCCUGGCUCAGGACGAACGCUGGCGGCGCGCCUAACACAUGCAAGUCGAACGAGCGAGAGAGAGCUUGCUUUCUCGAGCGAGUGGCGAACGGGUGAGUAACGCGUGAGGAACCUGCCUCAAAGAGGGGGACAACAGUUGGAAACGACUGCUAAUACCGCAUAAGCCCACGGCUCGGCAUCGAGCAGAGGGAAAAGGAGCAAUCCGCUUUGAGAUGGCCUCGCGUCCGAUUAGCUAGUUGGUGAGGUAACGGCCCACCAAGGCGACGAUCGGUAGCCGGACUGAGAGGUUGAACGGCCACAUUGGGACUGAGACACGGCCCAGACUCCUACGGGAGGCAGCAGUGGGGAAUAUUGCACAAUGGGGGAAACCCUGAUGCAGCGACGCCGCGUGGAGGAAGAAGGUCUUCGGAUUGUAAACUCCUGUUGUUGAGGAAGAUAAUGACGGUACUCAACAAGGAAGUGACGGCUAACUACGUGCCAGCAGCCGCGGUAAAACGUAGGUCACAAGCGUUGUCCGGAAUUACUGGGUGUAAAGGGAGCGCAGGCGGGAAGACAAGUUGGAAGUGAAAUCCAUGGGCUCAACCCAUGAACUGCUUUCAAAACUGUUUUUCUUGAGUAGUGCAGAGGUAGGCGGAAUUCCCGGUGUAGCGGUGGAAUGCGUAGAUAUCGGGAGGAACACCAGUGGCGAAGGCGGCCUACUGGGCACCAACUGACGCUGAGGCUCGAAAGUGUGGGUAGCAAACAGGAUUAGAUACCCUGGUAGUCCACGCUGUAAACGAUG
RNAcentral lists this ribosomal RNA (802 nucleotides) under uncultured bacterium. RNAcentral describes it as "bacterial SSU rRNA". It matches the Rfam family "Bacterial small subunit ribosomal RNA", at positions 1 to 811 of the family's 1533-position model. The record is from RNAcentral.